CCUACGGGAGGCAGCAGUGGGGAAUAUUGGACAAUGGGGGGAACCCUGAUCCAGCCAUGCCGCGUGUGUGAAGAAGGUCUUCGGAUUGUAAAGCACUUUAAGUUGGGAGGAAGGGUUUUUGGUUAAUACCCAAGAAUUUUGACGUUACCAACAGAAUAAGCACCGGCUAACUUCGUGCCAGCAGCCGCGGUAAU
This 194-nucleotide ribosomal RNA is filed under the name uncultured bacterium. RNAcentral describes it as "partial 16S ribosomal RNA". It matches the Rfam family "Bacterial small subunit ribosomal RNA", at positions 338 to 524 of the family's 1533-position model. The record is from RNAcentral.